This 253-nucleotide ribosomal RNA is filed under the name uncultured bacterium. RNAcentral describes it as "partial 16S ribosomal RNA". It matches the Rfam family "Bacterial small subunit ribosomal RNA", at positions 524 to 776 of the family's 1533-position model. The record is from RNAcentral.
UACGAGCGGUGCAAGCGUUAUUCGGAAUUAUUGGGCGUAAAGGGCGCGUAGGCGGGUCAUUAAGUUUGUUGUUAAAUCCUCUGGCUUAACCAGAGACAAGCAAUAAAAACUGGUAACCUAGAGCGUGAGAGAGAGAAGUGGAAUUCCCGGAGUAGCGGUAAAAUGCGUAGAUCUCGGGAGGAACACCAAUGGCGAAGGCUGCUUCGUGGCUCAUUGCUGACGCUGAGGCGCGAAAGCGUGGGGAGCGAACAGG